AAUAAUACUUUCGACAUCGAAAAUGGAAUUCAAUGGAAUCAUGAAAGAAAAAUUAGUGAUUUUGUUGGAGAAAAUAAAAUUAGUGAUUUGAUGGAGAAAAUGAAAUUCAAUAUGAUAAUUGAAGAUGGACUGAUAAUCAAUGAGUCAUAUAUUGGAAUAGAGUUUGCCGGUGCUGAUGAAGCAAAGAAUUUUAUAAUAUUUAUGCCUUCAAAAUAGGUUU
This 220-nucleotide long non-coding RNA is filed under the name Ananas comosus (pineapple). RNAcentral describes it as "long non-coding RNA (ACOM_LNC020087)". The record is from RNAcentral. Lineage: Eukaryota; Viridiplantae; Streptophyta; Magnoliopsida; Poales; Bromeliaceae.